Molecule: ribosomal RNA, 816 nt
Filed under: Pseudonectria buxi
Lineage: Eukaryota; Fungi; Ascomycota; Sordariomycetes; Hypocreales; Nectriaceae
Description: partial large subunit ribosomal RNA
Rfam family: Eukaryotic large subunit ribosomal RNA
Source: RNAcentral
GCCCCAGUAACGGCGAGUGAAGCGGCAACAGCUCAAAUUUGAAAUCUGGCCCUCGGGUCCGAGUUGUAAUUUGUAGAGGAUGCUUUUGGCGCGGUGCCUUCCGAGUUCCCUGGAACGGGACGCCAUAGAGGGUGAGAGCCCCGUCUGGUUGGACACCAAGCCUCUGUAAAGCUCCUUCGACGAGUCGAGUAGUUUGGGAAUGCUGCUCUAAAUGGGAGGUAUAUGUCUUCUAAAGCUAAAUAUUGGCCAGAGACCGAUAGCGCACAAGUAGAGUGAUCGAAAGAUGAAAAGCACUUUGAAAAGAGAGUUAAAUAGCACGUGAAAUUGUUGAAAGGGAAGCGAUUAUGACCAGACUUGGGCUUGGUUGAUCAUCCGGCGUUCUCGCCGGUGCACUCUUCCGGCCCAGGCCAGCAUCAGUUCGCUGCGGGGGAUAAAGGCGUCGGGAAUGUGGCUCCCUCGGGAGUGUUAUAGCCCUUCGUGCAAUGCCCUGUGGUGGACUGAGGACCGCGCUUUAUGCAAGGAUGCUGGCGUAAUGGUCAUCAUCGACCCGUCUUGAAACACGGACCAAGGAGUCGUCUUCGUAUGCGAGUGUUCGGGUGUCAAACCCCUACGCGUAAUGAAAGUGAACGCAGGUGAGAGCUUCGGCGCAUCACCGACCGAUCCUGAUGUUCUCGGAUGGAUUUGAGUAAGAGCAUACGGAGCCGGACCCGAAAGAAGGUGAACUAUGCCUGUAUAGGGUGAAGCCAGAGGAAACUCUGGUGGAGGCUCGCAGCGGUUCUGACGUGCAAAUCGAUCGUCAAAUAUGGGCAUGGGGGC